AUACGGAGGGUGCAAGCGUUAUCCGGAAUCAUUGGGUUUAAAGGGUCCGUAGGCGGAUAAUUAAGUCGGAGGUGAAAUCCCACAGCUCAACUGUGGAACUGCCUUUGAUACUGGUUGUCUUGAAUUAUAGUGAAGUAGAUAGAAUAUGUAGUGUAGCGGUGAAAUGCAUAGAUAUUACAUAGAAUACCGAUUGCGAAGGCAGUCUACUAACUGUAUAUUGACGCUGAUGGACGAAAGCGUGGGGAGCGAACAGGAUUAGAAACCCUAGUAGUCC
Molecule: ribosomal RNA, 274 nt
Filed under: uncultured bacterium
Lineage: Bacteria
Description: partial 16S ribosomal RNA
Rfam family: Bacterial small subunit ribosomal RNA
Source: RNAcentral